CCCUACGGGGGGCAGCAGCCGCGGUAAUACGGAGGGUGCGAGCGUUAAUCGGAAUUACUGGGCGUAAAGCGCACGUAGGCUGUUGUGUAAGUCAGGGGUGAACUCCCACGGCUCAACCGUGGAACUGCCCUUGAUACUGCAUGACUGGAAUCCGGGAGAGGGUGGCGGAAUUCCAGGUGUAGGAGUGAAAUCCGUAGAUAUCUGGAGGAACAUCAGUGGCGAAGGCGGCCAUCUGGACCGGUAUUGACGCUGAGGUGCGAAAGCGUGGGGAGCAAACAGGAUUAGAAACCCCUGUAGUCCCUAAA
RNAcentral lists this ribosomal RNA (305 nucleotides) under uncultured bacterium. RNAcentral describes it as "bacterial SSU rRNA". It matches the Rfam family "Bacterial small subunit ribosomal RNA", at positions 499 to 804 of the family's 1533-position model. The record is from RNAcentral.